GUCCUGCUCAGCCUGAUUCCUCACAACUACAUACUACACAGACCAACGCCAGGCCCAUUCCUUUCUCUAUCCCUCAUCCUUUGAGCAGUCCACAUGCAAUACAGCCCAGGGUUUGGUCCUCUCACUGAAGAAUAAACUGGUUCUCAUGUUGACCAUGAAUGUCUCAAACAGCUGGAUAGACCCAUGGAAGGUGAUCAGGUGGCUCAGGUCAUACUUUCCACCAUGGCCCCCACAUGGAGGGCGGCUGGCUCAGCAUCCCACGCACCCACAGGCUGGGGUUUUCAGGGCUCAGAAGAGGCAGGUAUGUAUAUGGUGCACAGGAGUGGUGAGUUUGCACACGUUCCCAUGUGUAAGGUCUUAGUGUGGGUAUGCAGAUGUCUCAGGUGUGCGCAUGUGCAGCUGUCUAUUAUCUGUGCUGGUUGUUAUUAAGUGUAAAUAUAUGCAACAGAAGCAUAUAAUAUACUUGUGUUUGCACAGGUAAUCCAUUGCUUGCGUGAGCAUCUAUGGGUAUGUAAGAUUUCACAACUGAAACAGGUAUCGUCUGAGCAGAUGCAUAUACACUAUACACAGAAGUGCAUGAUACUGGGAUAUAAAUAGGUGUGUGUGUGUGUGUGUGUGCGUGCACAUGUGUGUGCUUUCUUCAUAAGUAUGCAUUUAAGUAUGUUCAUGUACAUAAAUGGGGGGAGCAUAGAUAUGUUUAUGUAAGGUUUAUGCAAUUUGUGGGGGCAUCCUGAUGUAGGAAUAUGGGUUAGUGUUCUGCCUGUGUUUGUGCUUGAUUGAGUGAGUGUGUGCUGAUUUCUUUGAGCCAGUGGAGAGGUACAUUUGUGAGGUAUGUCUGUGCCUGUGGCAGUCAUGUGUGAGUGCACAUGGCAAUGGUAGCCUCCGGCUGCCUUUUCUUUCUUUUCUUCCUAGGAAAUCACAGAACUUCUAAGUCCUAACCACAGCUAAUGGCACUUCCAGGAACAUGAUUUCCUGGAACCCCCAAAGUAAGACUGGGGGGCACAGUAAGGAGAGAAGACACCUCGAGCUGGCAGAAACACACACUACCACGCUUGCUAUGGCCCACAGUCUUCCACGUGAGGAAACCGAGUCAGGCCAGAGGAGCGAAGAAGAAAACAAGGUGCACCCUGACCUCAGAUGCCUUCUUCCAUCAUCAGAACGGUGGCUUCCGGACUCGGCCGGCCGUGCUAACCCCCGCGUGUGGUUCUGUGGUUGCCCACAAAGCCUAAAAAUAGCCAACAGGAACCGGGGAAUCCCCACUGGUGAAUGGAGACGGCCAUUCCCCAGGUGUCUGCUGACCUGCCUCCGUCACAGCCUUGUACUGUCUAGAGAGAGCUGGGUUCUGGGGAAUGUGCGGGAGGCCAUGCCCAGCCUGGAACAGAGGAAACCGAGAGAGGAACUGACCCAUCUGAAGCUAAGGAAUGCCAAUCUCACCCCUACUGCCUCUUCUUUAUCUUGUGCUGGGGGCACAAGUCAAAGAGCAGGACCUCAUAGCUUUCUAGACCUUGCUUUAUACUGCAGCUUCCCUAGUGACUCCCUGUAUCCUUGGUUGCCUUACCUGCACAGUAGGGGUGGGUGCAUUGCCCGCUUGUAGGAGGAUGUGGUUGGUAUCAAGGGAAAUAAGGCCCUUGGCACCAAAGCAGGGCCAGCAUUGCUGCUAGAACUCAGUAGAUAGACACCAUGCUUCCAAAGUAGGAGAAGGCCAUUGUGCCCCCCUCCCAUCAAAGAAGUAAGAGCACCCACAGGAGGCAGGGAGACCCCUGUGACAGACGAUGGCCGUCUACAGCUAGUCUCUGGAGUAUUUGCAGUUCUUUGAACAGAAACCUUAUCAUUUUCCAUAGAAAGAUGGAGUCCAUCACCUUUCCUCCGAAAACUGUCACCUUUGGAAUUUCCUCAAUGAAGAGGAAGUGGCAGAAGUGACGCCACAUCACUUCCUAAGCGUAACCUUAGCUGAAAGCUGGUGAUGGUGACAAUGAUGACAUCCCUCAUGAGAAAACCCCUGCCCCAGCUAAUGUCACAGCCGACAGCCAGCCCCAGCACAGUGACAUGGAAGGACUCUUCAAGUGACUCUACCCCCCAGACAUCCCCCUAACCCCCACGACAGGAAAGGUCACCUAGAGCAGAAGCUACCUUCCCCUGAGCUCUGUCAGGAGGCAGGCUUUAGAGCAAAACAAUGUCAUUGUUCCAAGCUACUGUCUCGCGUGGCUGGUGACAAGACAAUGAGUUACAGGGAUACCUUGCAGCUCAUGGCAGAGACUCUGCAGUCACCCCACCUGCUUUUGUGCCGCGGGCUGAGCUGCAGAGCUCAGGUUUGGGGCCCUUGGACAGGUCACCAACUUUUAUGUCAAGUAUCUGUCAUAGAAGAACCUCUCAAAGGAACUGGGGUUUGAGUGGAGCAGCUGGGAGCAAGGAGGGGUGAGUUUUAUGGGCCUGGGCAGAGAGCAGUUCUGAGGGGCCACAGUCUGUGAGUUCCAUCCAGUAAGAACUUCACCACAAGCUGCUCAUGGGCUGACCACAGUAUGAGAGGAGGCUCAGGAGGGCUGGUCAGGCCCUGCUCAGUGCUGAGGGAGGGAAGGGCAGAGGAAGGAACAGCC
This is a long non-coding RNA of Mus spicilegus (steppe mouse), 2594 nucleotides long. NCBI's taxonomy places the organism in Eukaryota, Metazoa, Chordata, Mammalia, Rodentia, Muridae. The record is from Ensembl.